CCUACGGGUGGCAGCAGUGAGGAAUAUUGGUCAAUGGACGCAAGUCUGAACCAGCCAUGCCGCGUGCAGGAAGACGGCUCUAUGAGUUGUAAACUGCUUUUGUACGAGGGUAAACGCAGAUACGCGUAUCUGUCUGAAAGUAUCGUACGAAUAAGGCACGGCUAACUCCGUGCCAGCAGCCGCCGUAAUACGGAGGGUUCAAGCGUUAUCCGGAUUUAUUGGGUUUAAAGGGUGCGUAGGCGGUCGGAUAAGUUAGAGGUGAAAUCCCGAGGCUCAACUUCGGAAUCGCCACUGAUACUGUCCGGCUAGAGAGUAGUUGCGGUAGGCGGAAUGCAUGGUGUAGCGGUGAAAUGCUUAGAGAUCAGGCAGAACACCGGUUGCGAAGGCAGCUUACCAGGCUACUACUGACGUUGAGGCACGAAAGCGUGGGGAGCAAACAGGAUUAGAUACCCGAGUAGUC
RNAcentral lists this ribosomal RNA (460 nucleotides) under uncultured bacterium. RNAcentral describes it as "partial 16S ribosomal RNA". It matches the Rfam family "Bacterial small subunit ribosomal RNA", at positions 338 to 795 of the family's 1533-position model. The record is from RNAcentral.